This 74-nucleotide non-coding RNA is filed under the name unclassified sequences. The record is from Rfam.
CCUAUAGAGAGUACAAAAAAAUGUGAGUAGUGUCUGACUUACUCAGCACAAAAACAUACUCGACGAAGUAGGAA